UACGUAGGGUGCGAGCGUUGUCCGGAAUUAUUGGGCGUAAAGAGCUCGUAGGCGGCUUGUCGCGUCGGAUGUGAAAGCCCGGGGCUUAACCCCGGGUCUGCAUUCGAUACGGGCAGACUAGAGUUCGGCAGGGGAGACUGGAAUUCCUGGUGUAGCGGUGAAAUGCGCAGAUAUCAGGAGGAACACCGGUGGCGAAGGCGGGUCUCUGGGCCGAUACUGACGCUGAGGAGCGAAAGCGUGGGGAGCGAACAGG
Molecule: ribosomal RNA, 253 nt
Filed under: uncultured bacterium
Lineage: Bacteria
Description: partial 16S ribosomal RNA
Rfam family: Bacterial small subunit ribosomal RNA
Source: RNAcentral